Molecule: ribosomal RNA, 555 nt
Filed under: Triticum aestivum (bread wheat)
Lineage: Eukaryota; Viridiplantae; Streptophyta; Magnoliopsida; Poales; Poaceae
Description: partial small subunit ribosomal RNA
Source: RNAcentral
AUGGUGGGGCUGGACAAAAGUGGUAGUUUUACUUACUUGCUUGAACGGAUCAUUGAAAGACUUAAGGGAUGGAAGGAGAAGUUACUUUCCACAGGUGCAAAGGAAAUUCUUUUGAAGUCAGUAAUCCAGUCAAUCCCAGUAUUUGCCAUGGCUGUUUUUAAGAUCAAGAAUUGCAAAGAGAUGAAUGAUGCUAUGUCUGCCUUUUGGUGGGGAGAUUCUGAGGAUGACAAGAAGAUGCAUUGGUUUUCUUGGUGGAGAUUGUGUAUUCCAAAAAAGCUCGGAGGAAUGGGAUUUCGAGAUCUAUUUUCUUUUAACAUGUCUAUGCUCUCAAAGCAGACAUGGAGAUUAUUAAACCCUGAUUCACUUUGUGCCCAAGUCUUGAGAGCAAAAUAUUAUCCUGAUGGGAAAUUGUUAAAUGCAGGUCCAAAAAAGGUUCUUCCUACACUUGGCAGAGCAUUUUUGCUGGACUGCAAACUUUUAGGCGUGGACACAUUUGGAGAGUGGGCUCGGGAGAAAGAAUUAACAUUUGGGAGGACCACUGGAUCCCAACAAUAG